UUGGGUUAAGUCCCGCAACGAGCGCAACCCCUGUGGUUAGUUGCCAGCAAGUAGCGUUGGGCACUCUAGCCAGACUGCCGGUGAUAAAUCGGAGGAAGGUGGGGACGACGUCAAAUCAUCAUGCCCUUUAUGUCCUGGGCUACACACGUACUACAAUGGCCGUUACAACGGGAAGCGAAGGAGCAAUCCGGAGCAAAUCCCUUAAAGGCGGUCCCAGUUCAGAUUGUGGGCUGAAACUCGCCCACAUGAAGGCGGAAUUGCUAGUAAUUGCAGAUCAGCAUGCUGCAGUGAAUACGUUCCCGGGCCUU
This 308-nucleotide ribosomal RNA is filed under the name uncultured Oscillospiraceae bacterium. RNAcentral describes it as "bacterial SSU rRNA". It matches the Rfam family "Bacterial small subunit ribosomal RNA", at positions 1075 to 1382 of the family's 1533-position model. Lineage: Bacteria; Bacillati; Bacillota; Clostridia; Eubacteriales; Oscillospiraceae. The record is from RNAcentral.